GAACUGAAGAGUUUGAUCCUGGCUCAGAUUGAACGCUGGCGGCAUGCCUUACACAUGCAAGUCGAACGGUAACGCGGGGCAACCUGGCGACGAGUGGCGAACGGGUGAGUAAUGCAUCGGAACGUGCCCAGUA
This 133-nucleotide ribosomal RNA is filed under the name Burkholderiales bacterium. Its description in RNAcentral is "partial 16S ribosomal RNA". It matches the Rfam family "Bacterial small subunit ribosomal RNA", at positions 1 to 135 of the family's 1533-position model. Lineage: Bacteria; Pseudomonadati; Pseudomonadota; Betaproteobacteria; Burkholderiales. The record is from RNAcentral.